GUAACACGUAAACAACCUGCCUUCAGGAUGGGGACAACAGACGGAAACGGACUGCUAAUACCGAAUAAGUUCCAAGAGCCGCAUGGCCCAUGGAAGAAAAGGUGGCCUCUACCUGUAAGCUAUCGCCUGAAGAGGGGUUUGCGUCUGAUUAGCUGGUUGGAGGGGUAACGGCCCACCAAGGCGACGAUCAGUAGCCGGUCUGAGAGGAUGAACGGCCACAUUGGAACUGAGACACGGUCCAAACUCCUACGGGAGGCAGCAUG
RNAcentral lists this ribosomal RNA (263 nucleotides) under uncultured bacterium. RNAcentral describes it as "partial 16S ribosomal RNA". It matches the Rfam family "Bacterial small subunit ribosomal RNA", at positions 110 to 353 of the family's 1533-position model. The record is from RNAcentral.